UAUUGCACAAUGGGCGCAAGCCUGAUGCAGCAACGCCGCGUGAGGGAUGACGGCCUUCGGGUUGUAAACCUCUUUUAGCAGGGAAGAAGCGAAAGUGACGGUACCUGCAGAAAAAGCACCGGCUAACUACGUGCCAGCAGCCGCGGUAAUACGUAGGGUGCAAGCGUUAUCCGGAAUUAUUGGGCGUAAAGAGCUCGUAGGCGGUUUGUCGCGUCUGCUGUGAAAUCUGGGGGCUCAACCCCCAGCCUGCAGUGGGUACGGGCAGACUAGAGUGCGGUAGGGGAGAUUGGAAUUCCUGGUGUAGCGGUGGAAUGCGCAGAUAUCAGGAGGAACACCAAUGGCGAAGGCAGAUCUCUGGGCCGUUACUGACGCUGAGGAGCGAAAGGGUGGGGAGCAAACAG
RNAcentral lists this ribosomal RNA (401 nucleotides) under uncultured bacterium. RNAcentral's name for it is "bacterial SSU rRNA". It matches the Rfam family "Bacterial small subunit ribosomal RNA", at positions 362 to 775 of the family's 1533-position model. The record is from RNAcentral.